This 71-nucleotide transfer RNA is filed under the name Polihierax semitorquatus. RNAcentral describes it as "tRNA-Gln". It matches the Rfam family "tRNA". From Rfam's summary of the family: Transfer RNA (tRNA) molecules are approximately 80 nucleotides in length. Their secondary structure includes four short double-helical elements and three loops (D, anti-codon, and T loops). Lineage: Eukaryota; Metazoa; Chordata; Aves; Falconiformes; Falconidae. The record is from RNAcentral.
UAGGAAGUAAUAUAACGGGAGUAUGAAGGGUUUUGAUCUCUUAUGAAUAGGUUCGACUCCUAUCUUUCUAA